GACGAACGCUGGCGGCGUGCUUAACACAUGCAAGUCGAACGGAAAGGCCCUGCUUUUGUGGGGUGCUCGAGUGGCGAACGGGUGAGUAACACGUGAGUAACCUGCCCUUGACUUUGGGAUAACUUCAGGAAACUGGGGCUAAUACCGGAUAGGAGCUCCUGCUGCAUGGUGGGGGUUGGAAAGUUUCGGCGGUUGGGGAUGGACUCGCGGCUUAUCAGCUUGUUGGUGGGGUAGUGGCUUACCAAGGCUUUGACGGGUAGCCGGCCUGGGAGGGUGACCGGCCACAAUGGGACUGAGAUACGGCCCAGACUCCUACGGGAGGCAGCAGUGGGGAAUAUUGCACAAUGGGCGGAAGCCUGAUGCAGCAACGCCGCGUGCGGGAUGACGGCCUUCGGGUUGUGAACCUCUUUCGCCUGUGACGAAGCGUGAGUGACGGUAAUGUGUAAAGAAGCACCGGCUAACUACGUG
RNAcentral lists this ribosomal RNA (468 nucleotides) under uncultured bacterium. Its description in RNAcentral is "partial 16S ribosomal RNA". It matches the Rfam family "Bacterial small subunit ribosomal RNA", at positions 28 to 507 of the family's 1533-position model. The record is from RNAcentral.